RNAcentral lists this ribosomal RNA (1048 nucleotides) under Sphingomonas sp. Its description in RNAcentral is "partial 23S ribosomal RNA". It matches the Rfam family "Bacterial large subunit ribosomal RNA", at positions 766 to 2000 of the family's 2925-position model. Lineage: Bacteria; Pseudomonadati; Pseudomonadota; Alphaproteobacteria; Sphingomonadales; Sphingomonadaceae. The record is from RNAcentral.
CUGGAGGGCCGAACCCACGCCUGUUGAAAAAGUCGGGGAUGAGCUGUGGCUAGGGGUGAAAGGCCAAUCAAACUCGGAGAUAGCUGGUUCUCCGCGAAAUCUAUUGAGGUAGAUCGUCGGGUGGUCACCCUGGGGGGUAGAGCACUGGAUGGGCUCGGGGGCCCCAAAGGCUUACCAACCCCAACCAAACUCCGAAUACCCAGGAGUGCAGCCCGGCAGACAGACGGUGGGUGCUAAGGUCCAUUGUCGAGAGGGAAACAGCCCAGACCACCAGCUAAGGUCCCAAAAUCGUGGUUAAGUGGGAAAGGAUGUGGGAAUUCCAAAACAACCAGGAGGUUGGCUUAGAAGCAGCCAUCCUUUAAAGAAAGCGUAAUAGCUCACUGGUCUAAUAGAAAUCCUGCGCCGAAGAUGUAACGGGGCUCAAACCACGUACCGAAGCUGGUAUCGGAAGUGCGAAUGCUGACAUGAGUAGCGACAAACAGAGUGAGAAACUCUGUCGCCGAAAGUCCAAGGGUUCCUGCGCAAGGUUAAUCCGCGCAGGGUGAGCCGGCCCCUAAGGCGAGGGCGAGAGCCGUAGCUGAUGGGAACCAGAUGAAUAGUCCUGGGCCUGCUGGAAGUGACGAAUGCAAUCUGUUGUUUGGUCUUAUUGGAUUGACCGGGCUUUGGGCGCAUUCCAGGAAAUAGCUCCAGCGUAUAGACCGUACCCUAAACCGACACAGGUGGACUGGUAGAGUAUACCAAGGCGCUUGAGAGAACGAUGCUGAAGGAACUAGGCAAAUUGCUCGCGUAACUUCGGGAUAAGCGAGACCCGCAUGUGGGCAACCAGGUGCGGGUGGCACAGAGCAGGGGGUAGCGACUGUUUAGUAAAAACACAGGGCUGUGCGAAGUCGUGAGACGACGUAUACGGCCUGACGCCUGCCCGGUGCCGGAAGGUUAAGAGGAGAUGUGCAAGCAUUGAAUCGAAGCCCCGGUAAACGGCGGCCGUAACUAUAACGGUCCUAAGGUAGCGAAAUUCCUUGUCGGGUAAGUUCCGACCUGCACGAAUGGC